This is a long non-coding RNA of Gasterosteus aculeatus aculeatus (three-spined stickleback), 795 nucleotides long. NCBI's taxonomy places the organism in Eukaryota, Metazoa, Chordata, Actinopteri, Perciformes, Gasterosteidae. The record is from Ensembl.
CUGUGGAGGAUAGUCAGUCAGCGUGUGGGAUGCCUGUUGUGCAGAAGCCUCCUAGACGCUCUCCAGGGUUAUGCAUUUGACAUACGCAAGUAAAAGACCGCCAGGCUCUUUUGCCAUUUCCUGUUUCCUCGUGGGAAGAUGAUGAGUCAAUCCUACAGCACGGAUCCAAGAACUUUGACAUGGACGUCCUCUUGUGGGUAAUGCGGAUGACUAUUGAAAAAAAGCAUUUUGAUUGUGGCCUUUAGGGAUGAAACUGACAAUUUGCAAAAUGUCUGUUCGGUUACUUUUGACAGCAUGGCGGAGACAUUUUUAUUUAAUUUUGCACGAGGGGAGUUCAACGAAACCAUAACGUGAGACCGGCAACAGAGCCAUCUCGUACCAAACAAACAGCAGGGCAUGACAAUCAUUUAAUGGUACACGCACAAGUCGGCCUGUGGCUUCUGUUGAGCAACGCACAAUUCACGUGUUCAAUAGGAAGUAGGGCAAUUACACACGCAGCCAAAAGGAAUAAGAAGUGUGCCAGGAUUUGCCAGUCAGAUUUACAGCAAUGCACACAUGACCUCCCCUGACCUGCCCACGGAUGUGCUCACGCUUCAGUAGAGGCUGGUGGGAGUUUAGAGGGAAUUAGCAGCCCCCAAGCCGAGAAGAACCUGAGGAAAGUCCAUGGUUCAUUGCUUCAACCUUUACCACUGGAGAGAAAAAGACAGCACGAAAGAAACAGAUUCACAGCGAGAUCAACUUUUUAUCUAAGUCAUUUUUUAGUUUUUGUUUUCUGUUUUGCAAAUAAAAUUUGAC